UGGGGAAUUUUGCACAAUGGGGGAAACCCUGAUGCAGCGACGCCGCGUGAUUUAGAAGGCCUUCGGGUUGUAAAAAUCUUUUCUAUGGGAAGAAAAUGACAGUACCAUAGGAAUAAGGACCGGCUAAUUACGUGCCAGCAGCCGCGGUAAUACGUAAGGUCCGAGCGUUGUCCGGAAUCAUUGGGCGUAAAGGGUACGUAGGCGGGUAAGCAAGUUAGAAGUGAAAUCCUAUAGCUCAACUAUAGUAAGCUUUUAAAACUGCUCAUCUUGAGGUACGGAAGGGAAAGUGGAAUUCCUAGUGUAGCGGUGAAAUGCGCAGAUAUUAGGAGGAAUACCGGUGGCGAAGGCGACUUUCUGGCCAUAACCUGACGCUGAGGUACGAAAGCGUGGGUAGCAAACAGG
This 402-nucleotide ribosomal RNA is filed under the name bacterium. RNAcentral describes it as "partial 16S ribosomal RNA". It matches the Rfam family "Bacterial small subunit ribosomal RNA", at positions 355 to 776 of the family's 1533-position model. The record is from RNAcentral.